RNAcentral lists this long non-coding RNA (2101 nucleotides) under Anolis carolinensis (green anole). RNAcentral describes it as "lncRNA (ENSACAG00000036418.1)". Lineage: Eukaryota; Metazoa; Chordata; Lepidosauria; Squamata; Anolidae. The record is from RNAcentral.
AUGGCGGGGGCGCGCGGUAACAUCUUUAGCCGCCCUCCAGGGUCAGGGCCGGAGCCAGGCCCCGCCCCCUCGCGGUCCAGCGACUUCUUUUCUCCGUCGGCCGCAGCCCAAACCGUCAUCCCGCCGUCUUUCCUGAACGCCAUCGCGGUUAUCCAGGCGCAGGCGCAGGCCUACCUCAACACCGCCAUCGCCUGCGAGCGGGCCCGGCGCUGGUUCCAGGCAAUCGAGUAUUACAGAAAGCUACUGAGCUUUUUGAACAAAAAAAGGUUUCCUCCUGAAUACAUACCUGGACCUGGAUAUAUUCAGCUGGUGUUUGAAUCCUAUUAUCAUAUAGGAGUAGCUUUCCAAAAAGUAAAUAAUCAUCGUGACGCUGCAGAAGAGUUUACAUAUGCCAUAGAAGCAAUGAACAUCCCUAAAAUAGCUUGUAAAGUUGGCUGUGUUUCUAGCGCUUUCUAUCAGACACCUGUAUAUGCAAGGAGAGCUUACGCAUAUGUGAAAUGUGCCAAGAUUAAAGAAGCAAUUAAUGACGCUACAAGAGCUGUGUUUUCUGACCCUGCGAAUUCUGAUGUGUACUGUAUCAGAGCUCUUGUGUGGAGUUCAGCAAAUGAAAAAAGCAGAGCCCUUCAUGAUUUAAACUGUAGUUUCAGGUUAAACCCAUCUCAUGUUUGCACUUUGAUAUUAAGGGGAGCUAUUUUGAAAUCCAUUGGGGGAGUGGCUUCUUCAGAGCACAAUAAAGAUCAAGAAAAGGCCUUUCAACUAUGUCCAGAAAGUCCAAAUUUCUUUGAUGUGGAAGAUUUUCAUAGUCCUAAAAUGCCUUUGUUCUAUGACAAAUUCCUGUGGUCUCUGAAUGCUUUUCAUACCGUAACAGGAAUCAACCUCUUUGCUGGAGCUGGAUUUGUGCCCAACUUGGGACCAAAAGAACAAGGCCCAAUGAAACCAUUUAAGCAUGGCUAUUCGGAAUAUUCUGACAACACUGCGUUAUUGAGGAGGCAAGCAUACACAAAGGCAUGCAUAGAGGCAGGCACAAUUAUUAAUGGCUCAAGACAGGGAUCUGUCUCAGGGAAGAAAAGCUUUGUUUCAUCAGCUACUCGGGAUUCAGGGAAGAAAACCUCAAGUUCAUCUGUAGUCAGAGAAUCUGUGAGGAAAGGCUCAAGUGCAUCAGUAGUACGGGAAUUUGUGAAGAACGGCUCAAGUUCAACCACAGUGCGAGAAUCUGGAAGUGAAGAUUUAAAGAAUUAUGAUAUAAGUGUGGCUAAAAAGAAGAAAGGAGGCAGUUCAUCAGUAAACUGGAACGUGUGAAAAAGAGAUCAAGUUUCAACAAUAGACAGGGAUUUGCGAAAAAGACAUCAGAUUCAGUAGUUGCUUGGUGACCUAGCAUAUGGCGAAGCACAUUUCUGUGAAUGGCCCAGUGUUGAGCAUUAAAAAGCUGUAAAAUAUGUCAUGACAUUUUUUCAUAACCUGACUUCCUUCAAAAUUACUGGCAGGUAACUCUAAAAACUACACAAGAGAUGUUUGAAAUUGGGUAUUCUGUAAAUUCUUCCAUUCCCUGAAAGAGAACUCUGUCAGUCUACUGGUACCACUUCAAAUCUGUGUGUAGGUAUGGAUUGACAGUACUUACGUAGGCCCCAGAACUACUUAACGUUACAAGAGUGCUGGAACGAGAUAUCCUUAAUUCUGCUGCUAUUCAUAAAAAUAUGGUUUACUUGAUAUUGUAAUUGGAGUGAACCUGGAAGAUUUUUCUAAAAAUACCAGGUGUCCUCAGUAUCCCAGUGACCAUGGUCAGUUAAGAAACAGUGCCAAAAACUGUAAUGUGAAACCUUCCCAGCUUUCGGGAAAAGGCCAGCCCUAGUGCGACGUGAGUCCAACGCAUUAGGGCUACUAAAGCAGUCAACUGAGGGGAGGAAGCAUGUUUUCGUACCCAUUACAUUAUCUGUUGGGGGAAAGGAACUUGUUUCUACUUUGGCACUGCUGGACUCAGGGGCUACGGUCUCUUACGUGGAUAUUGAGUUUGCUAGGAAGCAUGGCAUUCCUAGAGUGCGCAAGGCAUGCGACGUGUGGGUGGAAGGAGCGGAUGGGAGACUGCUGGAGACUGGGGUGGUUA